GUUUUGGCAGCACACAUACCAUACUAAGAGACUGAAACAAUAUAGGGAAGAUUAGCAUGGUGCUGUGCAAGGAUGACUUGCAAACUCCUGAGGCAGUCCGUACUAAA
RNAcentral lists this small nuclear RNA (107 nucleotides) under Meriones unguiculatus (Mongolian gerbil). The record is from RNAcentral. Lineage: Eukaryota; Metazoa; Chordata; Mammalia; Rodentia; Muridae.